GUGCCAGCCGCCGCGGUAACACCGGCAGCCCAAGUGGUAGCCACGUUUAUUGGGUCUAAAGCGUCCGUAGCCGGUUGGGUAAGUUCCUUGGGAAAUUUGGCUGCUUAACAGUCAAGCUUUUAGGGAAUACUGCCCGACUUGGGACCGAGAGAGGUCAGAGGUACUCCAGGGGUAGGGGUGAAAUCCAUUAAUCCUUGGAGGACCACCGGUAGCGAAGGCGUCUGACCAGAUCGGGUCCGACGGUGAGGGACGAAGGCUAGGGGCGCGAACCGGAUUAGAUACCCGGGUAGUCC
This 293-nucleotide ribosomal RNA is filed under the name uncultured prokaryote. RNAcentral's name for it is "partial 16S ribosomal RNA". It matches the Rfam family "Archaeal small subunit ribosomal RNA", at positions 455 to 747 of the family's 1478-position model. The record is from RNAcentral.